GAUACAAGCGAAGGCCAUGCGUUCUGGGAGACCAGACUACUUAAGCACGGCAUGACAGAAUGUAUACUCAGUAUAGUUCGUUAUCGUUCUGACUGUCGUUUCAUCGGAUGUUUGCUGGGAAGACUGACCGACCGGCUCACCAGUACCGGGGGCAGGUUUAUUUGUCUUCAGGUUCAGGAAUUUGUCUUCAGGAUCUUCAGGAAUAACGGAUGUCGACAGAGUGAGCUGCCUGUUGAGGCAUGAAGGCACCAACCUCGACUCCAUGUGCUGCGUGUGCGUUCCUUCACAACCAACAUGGCGCGACCAGUCUCACUUCCCAUGAACCAACAUGCAGCCUCGGUAAUAACUCGGUGCAGAUGAGAAUCCCGACUGGACGGAAACUAGAUCAAGUCCCAGCGACCCACUUCCUUGAGCCGUAAAUCAAGACCGGAUCAUCCAAUCGGCACAACAGGCAGUGUCCCUUCGCAGGGCCUACGGACAUUUCUAGGGCCUUGUAAA
Acanthaster planci (crown-of-thorns starfish) is the source of this 498-nucleotide long non-coding RNA. Lineage: Eukaryota; Metazoa; Echinodermata; Asteroidea; Valvatida; Acanthasteridae. The record is from RefSeq and is a predicted model, not a curated record.